Molecule: microRNA precursor, 135 nt
Filed under: Hordeum vulgare
Lineage: Eukaryota; Viridiplantae; Streptophyta; Magnoliopsida; Poales; Poaceae
Description: microRNA MIR1122
Rfam family: MIR1120/MIR1122 microRNA precursor family
Source: RNAcentral
CAAAUACUCCCUCCGUCUCAAAAUUCUUGUCUUAGUUUUGUCUAAAUACAAAUAUAUCUAGUCAUGUUUUAGUGUUACAUACAUCUGUAUCUUGAGAAAUCUAAGACAAGAAUUUUAGGACGGAGGGAGUAUUUG